CUGUCUUUGCCGCCCUAGUCUGCAUUUCCCAGUAUUCUGCCAGCAGAAACGUAUUCGGUGCUCACACAUCAAUCCCUGGCUUCCCAGCGUCCCUCAGCAAACAUCCCCUUCUCCUGAUGCAAAAUAACCUCUCUCCUAUUGUUAUUAUCCCACAUGGUUCUAUUACUCAAUGCAGAGUGGCAUUGAGCAAAUUCACUCCAAGGUAUGAGAGUACUUGCAGGUGAAACAUUUUUUGUUAUAUCCAG
Molecule: long non-coding RNA, 245 nt
Filed under: Homo sapiens (human)
Lineage: Eukaryota; Metazoa; Chordata; Mammalia; Primates; Hominidae
Description: non-protein coding lnc-CBLN4-3:2
Source: RNAcentral